Molecule: long non-coding RNA, 283 nt
Organism: Melospiza melodia melodia
Lineage: Eukaryota; Metazoa; Chordata; Aves; Passeriformes; Passerellidae
Exons: 3
Source: RefSeq, a predicted model, not a curated record
UGUUUACUAUUACAAACCUGCUUCAAGACUCAGAGCACCACCACAUAUUCUGAAAAAGAAUAUCUUUACCUGAAUUCUUGGUGUUGUUGGGCAGAGAAGGAAAAUAUAACAGAUACAUUCUGAAAACAGCUUGGAGGAGUCCAGAGCUGCUGGCUGGCCUAUGGAGCAGAUCCAGUUGAUCUUUCUGCUGAACAAGGUGAUCCACCCAGACCUAGCAGCUGUGACUUGCUGUGAUUCACACGCAGAGGAAUGUGGUGAUAAAUGGGAUUUUUCAAGUCAGAAA